Molecule: ribosomal RNA, 498 nt
Filed under: uncultured bacterium
Lineage: Bacteria
Description: partial 16S ribosomal RNA
Rfam family: Bacterial small subunit ribosomal RNA
Source: RNAcentral
GGAUGAACGCUGGCGGCGUGCCUAAUACAUGCAAGUCGAGCGAACGGACGAGAAGCUUGCUUCUCUGAUGUUAGCGGCGGACGGGUGAGUAACACGUGGAUAACCUACCUAUAAGACUGGGAUAACUUCGGGAAACCGGAGCUAAUACCGGAUAAUAUUUUGAACCGCAUGGUUCAAAAGUAAAAGACGGUCUUGCUGUCACUUAUAGAUGGAUCCGCGCUGCAUUAGCUAGUUGGUAAGGUAACGGCUUACCAAUGCAACGAUGCAUAGCCGACCUGAGAGGGUGAUCGGCCACACUGGAACUGAGACACGGUCCAGACUCCUACGGGAGGCAGCAGUAGGGAAUCUUCCGCAAUGGGCGAAAGCCUGACGGAGCAACGCCGCGUGAGUGAUGAAGGUCUUCGGAUCGUAAAACUCUGUUAUUAGGGAAGAACAUAUGUGUAAGUAACUGUGCACAUCUUGACGGUACCUAAUCAGAAAGCCACGGCUAACUACGUG